RNAcentral lists this ribosomal RNA (405 nucleotides) under uncultured bacterium. Its description in RNAcentral is "bacterial SSU rRNA". It matches the Rfam family "Bacterial small subunit ribosomal RNA", at positions 975 to 1375 of the family's 1533-position model. The record is from RNAcentral.
CAGCCCUUGACAUGGAACGUAUGGGCCCGAGAGAUCGGGUCCUUCGGGUUAAGCCGGCGUUCACACAGGUGCUGCAUGGCUGUCGUCAGCUCGUGUCGUGAGAUGUUGGGUUAAGUCCCGCAACGAGCGCAACCCUCAUCUUCAGUUGCCAUCGGGUCAAGCCGGGCACUCUGGAGAAACUGCCGGUGACAAGCCGGAGGAAGGCGGGGAUGACGUCAAGUCCUCAUGGCCCUUACGGGCUGGGCUACACACGUGCUACAAUGGCGGUGACAAUGGGCGGCGAUGGGGCGACCCCUAGCCAAUCCCAAAAAGCCGUCUCAGUUCGGAUUGUACUCUGCAACUCGAGUGCAUGAAGUUGGAAUCGCUAGUAAUCGCGGAUCAGCAUGCCGCGGUGAAUACGUUCCC